GACGAACGCUGGCGGCGUGCCUAAUACAUGCAAGUAGAACGCUGAAGAGAGGAGCUUGCUCUUCUUGGAUGAGUUGCGAACGGGUGAGUAACGCGUAGGUAACCUGCCUUGUAGCGGGGGAUAACUAUUGGAAACGAUAGCUAAUACCGCAUAACAAUGGAUGACCCAUGUCGUUUAUUUGAAAGGGGCAAAUGCUCCACUACAAGAUGGACCUGCGUUGUAUUAGCUAGUAGGUGAGGUAACGGCUCACCUAGGCGACGAUACAUAGCCGACCUGAGAGGGUGAUCGGCCACACUGGGACUGAGACACGGCCCAGACUCCUACGGGAGGCAGCAGUAGGGAAUCUUCGGCAAUGGGGGCAACCCUGACCGAGCAACGCCGCGUGAGUGAAGAAGGGUUUCGGAUCGGAAAGCUCUGUUGUAAGUCAAGAACGAGUGUGAGAGUGGAAAGUUCACACUGUGACGGUAGCUUACCAGAAAGGGACGGCUAACUACGUG
RNAcentral lists this ribosomal RNA (497 nucleotides) under uncultured bacterium. RNAcentral describes it as "partial 16S ribosomal RNA". It matches the Rfam family "Bacterial small subunit ribosomal RNA", at positions 28 to 507 of the family's 1533-position model. The record is from RNAcentral.